GAGGGGUGUAAGCGUUAUUCGGAUUUACUGGGCGUAAAGGGUGCGUAGACGGCGCAUUAAGUCUGUUGUUAAAUUUUUCGGCCUAACCGAAAAGCUGCGAUGGAAACUGGUGUGCUAGAGAAUGAGAGAGAGAAGUGGAAUUCCCGGAGUAGCGGUAAAAUGCGUGGAUCUCGGGAGGAACACCAAUGGCGAAGGCAGCUUCUUGGCUCAUUUCUGACGUUGAGGCACGAAAGCGUGGGGAGCAAACAGGAUUAGAUACCCUGGUAGUCCACGCCGUAAACGAUAAUCACUAGACGUUAGUCCGGCUUUGCUGGAUUAGUGUCGUAGCUAACGCGUUAAGUGAUUCGCCUGGGGGAGUACGAUCGCAAGAUUA
Molecule: ribosomal RNA, 373 nt
Filed under: uncultured organism
Description: partial 16S ribosomal RNA
Rfam family: Bacterial small subunit ribosomal RNA
Source: RNAcentral